Carassius auratus (goldfish) is the source of this 4464-nucleotide long non-coding RNA. RefSeq lists it as uncharacterized. Lineage: Eukaryota; Metazoa; Chordata; Actinopteri; Cypriniformes; Cyprinidae. The transcript is spliced from 7 exons. The record is from RefSeq and is a predicted model, not a curated record.
GCUUUAUUAUUAUUACUGUUAUUAUUAUUAAAUUAGGUGACAUUUACGAGGUAUGAUACUUCCAUGUUGAAAUGUUAUUUUGGCAGCAGUCUGAUUCAUUAUUAAUAUAAUAUUUCAGGCGAUGUAUUUGACUAUGACCUGCAGUUCUUAGAGAUUAUGACUAGAAUAAAGUUGUUUUAUACUGAAAUAUGCGUGUUUGUGUGUGUGUGUGUGUUUCAGCCAAAACUCCCUAAGACAACACAAUAUUAUUUUAAAUAUUCACAUAUAUUUCGGUGUUUUAAUAAAUUAGUUCUGGUUUGUGUUUGCGCUUAAUCUCGGAGAACUACGUCACGCGCGACUUCCAGAUCACAUGACACUGGCACUAUUUGUUUUUUGUUUUUACAUAUUAUUUAAAGCGUGUAAAACUACAAGGCAAUACUCAUGCGCCUUUGAAAGAGCAUAAAACAUGUUAAAUUGGAUUUGCGUUAUAAAAAAAUUAUUCAAGCGUGUAUUAACAGCCUAAAAUAACCCGAGUUCUUUAUUCGACACAUGCACGACUGCACAGCACACCGCGCGAUUAUCAUCAGAUAUUCUAAGCGAGAAUCUGCAUCUUGUAUUAAACUCCAGUAAAGAUGUAAAGCUGUAACUCACUAGACGCAUCGAGCUGGACCUGAUGAGGUAGUGAAGAAAGAGAAAACACCAUUAAGCGCCGCAGAGCACAUGCAAACAUAUGGUGAGCUGCUUUCCCUGGACGCCGUUGAAAUAAAUAAAGCUGCGUGCAAACAAGGAGGAAGAAAACACCACCCUGUUCAUCCUGCUCUGAUCUACAGCAGAAAACCACUUUGAGAAGACAUGCUCUCAUCUCUACAGCAGGUGUGUCUCAGGGUGUCUUAUUAAUUAAAGCCGUGGACCUCAGAGACUCGUCAAGAAGCUGGAUUACAGACGGACAUCUGAGUUAUCAGCAGGUGCGUCCCAAAACCGGCUGACUUCAGUUCUGCCUCCCAAUACAUCUGACCAGUCUGGCAUCCUCGAACGAAUUCCUGCAACGUCUGCCGUAUUAUUGUCAGAAGAACGCUUUGAAAAAUCCUGAUGUUCUGGAGGCUCUUCAGUCUUGUGAGGAUGAUUUGACACAAAGUAUCUUCAAGACGAGUCGACAUACAACUUAACAGACGAUUGACACACAGUACGACUCUCAGCUUUAAAUAAUACGGUUUCAGGCAGGGUUUGUUGUUGUUGCAUUUGGCUUUUUGACUAAAACGACAUCACCAGUUUUUAAACUCAUUUUUUUACGCUGUAGGUCACUUAUGAGGAGAACUGGUGUAGAUUAGACUUUUUUUGCUCAUUGCUAGUAAAAAUCAAACAUAAUUACAAAGUAACAAGUUUAACGCCUUUACUGUUUUAGUUUCCUAUUUACAUAUCUCCCUUUUUUCAUUCUCAUUUCUAUUUAAUUUAAACAUUUUUCCUUAGUUUUGACUUGUUUUCCUUUCCUGAUUCCUUCACAUUCGGCUAUUUCUGUUUCUUGAUUCCUUUUUCAUUUCACUUUUUCCAUUCCAGUUAUUUUUCUACUUCCUUCCUGUUUUCUUUCCUUCCUCUCUCAUUUUCCUGUCUUUUUUGGUUUCUUUACAUACACUUUCAUUUCCUUUUUUAAUAUUCCUUACAUUACCAUUUUAAUUUCCCUGAUUCCUUUAUCUUUUACUGUUUCUUCAUUCCUUUAUUUCCUUACUUGUUUCCUUUUGUUUACAUUUUUUUUAAAUUUCACUUCCUGUUUCUCUUACUUCUAGAAUUCUAGUUUUUUUUUUUCCUUUUCCUAUUUCUAAUUCCUUUGGCUAUUUACAUUUAUUUUUCCCUUUCCUGUUUCCUUCCUAUGUGGCACUGAUGGUCAUUCAUGCAAAAUAAGUACAAGGUGAAACAUCUUCAACAUCAUACCAUUUCAUAGUGAAUGUUUCAGGUUUAAAGCUCUGCAGUCGUGCACAGGUCUGAAGCAGCACGUCUCGUCCUCUCUCUCCUCUGUCCUGUAUGAGCUGGAUCUGUGCAUCAUGUCUCUCGUCAGCGCUGAAGCUAGCCGUGUCUGGGUCUCAUCAGAAUGAAACGGGACGGGAGGCAGGCUGCUGAUCUCUCGCUCUCUCGCUCCUCUUCACCAAAUCAAUGGUGGCCUGUGGAGCGCUGGCCUGACGCUCACUGACUCUUUCAUGAGGAUGUUUGAAGCUCUGAAGAUCUUGAGGAGAGAGUCAGUCGCUGUUUAAAUGAGUGGUUGAUGGAUAUGCGAGUACAGUAGGUGUGUGUUGGAGGUUGUGUGUGUGUGUGUGUGUGUGGCUGUAUCGUGCCGUGGUGUUAAUGAGAGUCUCGGCUCCUGUGGAGUUGAAAUCUCCAGUGUUAGUUACACACUGUUGACCCGUGUGCUUCCCAAAUGAUCUGGCUCCAGGGUUUAGGGUUUACACCGGACAUCAAGUGGUGAUUCAACACCGUCCCAAAAUCUUGAUGGGUUCAUGCUGUCAGCAGCAAAUAAUUCUCCACAGAAAGCACAUUGUGCCCAAUAGAGAUCACGAGGAGAGCAUGUCACACAACCUGUCCAUGGCAUCUGAUUCAUCCGACCAGCUCCAGAUCCCAGAGUCUGAAAUGGAAAGGGCUUUUUCCUGAAAAAAGAAAAGUGGUUUUGGGAUGCCAGCGGGCCACUCAUGUCAAGACCUGCCUCUUUCACCUUCACAUCCUCCACCGCUGAACACAGGAUCAGAGCAAAGUUCAGCUUCAUCCCAGUCACACUCGGAGAAGGAAGACCAAUCAGAAGUCAGUAUGCAAAUACUACGAUGAUGUCAUCACUGCUGGAUACAUUUGAAAAGUGAAGAUUCCAUCAGGUCAAAGAAAGGUCAGACCAUAACAUUACAGUGGAAUAUUUACAGCCACCGAAAACAGUUGGAGCUGAAUUAAUUGGAGAAGUUGAACUCAAGCCCUCUGAUGAUGUAUGUUGUGUCUGUGAUUCUGUUCUUCUUUUCUCGCUCCUCGUUUAUCACGAUGAUCACAUUUCUCUCCACUGCUUCUUCUCUUAUUUCUCAAGAUGAUAAAUUCAGACCAUGUGUGGACGAGGCCAUGCACUGAAUUCUUUCUGAGUUUUGUGUUUUGAAGUGCACACUAGUGAGCAACGUCGUAUAUUAACAUUGUAUUUGUAAAUAAAAUACUGUGCAUUUUAUAAACUUGUCACACAAGUUUUCUGGCAGGCACAGUUGUGUUUUAUUUACACCUUUUUUUCUCAGUUUUUUUAUAGUGUGUGUGUGCGAGUUCAUGCACAUGUGAGCUUGAGUGUGUGUGUGUCUGUGUGUGUGUCUCUGUGUCUGUGUGUGUGUGUGUGUGUGUGUGUAAAUGCUGAGCCAGCGGCUCCAUCUCUCCUCUGAACACAUGAUUGAUGAAGUCCAUCAGAGAGAGAGAGAGAGAGAGAGAGAGAGAGAGGGGGAAUACGGUGAAGAGAGGAGCACAGAGUGAUGGAUGGAUGUGAGCUGAUUGCUGUUGUUUGACACUCUCAGAUCUUAGUGUUUAAUGAAUGAGUGUGUGUCACAGGCUCAGAUCAUUCACUUACACUGUGCUGCAGAUGCUGAAGUGAAUCUGAGACUGACGUUCUGUCUGUAGUUCUGACGUUAUGUCAUUUAACAUCUUUCUGUCGUUAAACAGAUCUGCUAAGCUUUCCUGGUGUGUGUGUAUUCCACAGACAAGCUGCUGGUUCUCAAUUUGAGCCUUUUUUGCCAUUUCCCAUCCAUUAUAGUUCUGAAAAAUCAGCCCUGACUCCUCAAACCUGCCAGGUUCGUCCCAGGAAUGAGUGUCAUCAUUAGUGACUGGAAGCAGAGAGUCCAGGACGUCCUUCUGAAGGAUUGAUCUCUGCUCUGCUCAAACACCGGGUCACUGUGAUGAAGGUCAUGAGAUUCACUUCAGACGUUUGCCAGACUGCAUUUAUAACCAUCAGAUCGCAUCAACAGCUGGACGUGUAUGAUUCAUUUACAUCAACCUGACAGGAACACACACACACACACACACACACAUGCUCUCUCUCUGUGUGUGUGCUCUGUGGUGGAAACAGUGAGGUAAAUGUCCCCGUAUGAUUCAGGUUAGAGGAUACAGUCUCUGCUGCUCCGAUAAGAAUUGAAAUCCUGUUUUGCUUCAUAUCAACUCACUAAACCAAAUGGGAACUCGCUCUGAUUUAUUACUGCACUGUUUUCAACCUUGACUCAUAAAGUGUUUGUCGCAGCCCGUUCCAUUUCUUUUUAGGUUAACAGGAAGCACUGUCCACAGAAACACUACGCUCCCAAAGCAAACGUUUUAACUCUGUGGCUCAUGACCGAUGAAUCGGGACAAACAAUGGAUUCACAAAACAAUCAUAAAAUGCAAAUAACCCUAUAAUCAAGCAUGGUUUGUCUAUUAGCGUCUAUAUUAUAUUAUGAUAAUAAAUUAAUUAUAAUUAUUUAGUUUUAUUGCAGCAGAUUUAAUUAUUAUAAUUAAAUG